ACCCGAAAAAGUUACUUUAAUGGUUGGAAAUCAUAGUUAAGCUCCAAAAGAUUCAAUGUAGUUUGGACAAAACAUAAGUUGCUUGAUAAAAAUAAACAAACUGGGCCUAGACUUAGGCCGUGCCGUGGCUGUGUAAUCUGCAACCUAAUAAAGUAGUUAGUGUUGAUAGUUUGGAUUCAGAUAUGAUACUAGUGUUUGUAUGAGGUGUAAAGUUAAUCUAUAUAUAUAAAAUUAACUUUACUCAUUCCUGAUGCUGCCACAUCAGCCACUCCCUCUAUUUAAUAAGACCAAAUUUUUGACACAACCCACUAAGCAAUUCUUUUUUUUUUUGUGUUUCAUAUUUCUUUAAAAGCCCAAUUUCAUAUUUCUGUAAAAGCUCAAUCCAAUAAUAAUACAUGUUUUAUAUGAUGUUGAAAUAAAACCUUUCUCCAGGAAGCUCCACUCCGCUGUCCGCUGUUGUGCGACCUGAAGCGUCCCUCAACAAUCCUCCACACCCUUUCGUUGUCUUUCCUGACUUCCAUCUCCAUCGUAACGUCUUCUUCUAAAACGAAAAGAGGAAGGCUGAAGCUAGAGGAUCUGGGUGAAAUACUCUCACUAAAUUUGGGUAUGUCUCUUUCUUAAUUAGAUUUUUGUUCGGUUCUUUACUUCUUUUAAAUCAGAUGUAUGUAUGUUUGUUUAUGUAUCAAUGUAUGAUUUAAGUAUCCCUCCUCAUAACACAUGUGUCGACGCUGUCAUACAUGGUUUGUAUAUAGUUUUGGUCUCCUACCAGAACAUAUCUGCUUUACCGUUAUAGCUCAAGUCGGGGCAACUUAUUUCAUAGUUGGUGGUUUUGUUGGUUCGCUCAGUAUAUAUUCUAUGUUGAGGCUCUAAGUAACAACUCAAAUGAGUAAUUGGCCUGCUUUUUAUAAUAAAAGUAUACUACAUCGUCCUAGGUAGCUUUUUGGGUCUUUAAAUAAUAGGUCUUCCAGUUUUUCUGUUAUGAUCUGUUAUCAAACUUCAAGCUACAUGAAUCCAUAAACAUUCAUAGCUAGAUCAGCUAUUUGUUUCCAUGUUGAACUAGAGAUUAUUUUACUCUAUGGUUAUCUCUAUGUAGAAUUUAGUUCUCCAAAGAAUACUAAAAUCGAGAUGAUAUUAUAUAUCUCGGUAUUUGAUUUUGUUUAAUUUCCAUGUACAUUAUGGUAUACAGUAGAAAGAGUUAAGAACUAUGUUAUAUCAUUUGUAUUAGUUUGGUUUUCAUUGCCUCAUUUAUAUGUUUAGACACAUCACAUAACUUUAAGAUGGGACGAAACAAUUGGCAUACGUGCAGGUUAUUCAAUGAACAUGAUCAUAUGAAUAUCAAGCUCAAGUGAAUCCUCAUGGUUUAUGGGUCGUGGUGUAAUCGAGCCUAUGCCAGGAAAGCUCAGAGUUCAUGUCAUCCAAUCAACGUUCUCAAUUAUGUAAAUUUCAUAGUUCUCUUGCCCUUUUCAUAUGACUUUCUUUAAUCCAGAAAGAAAUGAAGUGUUUCCUAAAGAAUUUUAAGUACAAGGGUCAAAAGUAAUUCAUGACCGAGAAGCGAGUCAUGUAAAGAUGGAAUUGUCUUCAUCCUUUUUAAGAAAGAUCAGGACUGGGAAGCGAGUAAAAUCACCAUUAGAUAGAUGGGCAUAUUGAAGGUUCAUGAGUUUCUUAUUUUGUUAUAUUUUCCAUAAGACAUAGUUUAAACCCCUUAAGAAAUAAGUUGGGUUCAAUAUUUAUAAGUUGUUCUUA
Camelina sativa (false flax) is the source of this 1743-nucleotide non-coding RNA. Lineage: Eukaryota; Viridiplantae; Streptophyta; Magnoliopsida; Brassicales; Brassicaceae. The record is from RefSeq and is a predicted model, not a curated record.